GAUGAACGCUGGCGGCGUGCCUAAUACAUGCAAGUCGAGCGAACGGACGAGAAGCUUGCUUCUCUGAUGUUAGCGGCGGACGGGUGAGUAACACGUGGAUAACCUACCUAUAAGACUGGGAUAACUUCGGGAAACCGUAGCUAAUACCGGAUAAUAUUUUGAACCGCAUGGUUCAAAAGUGAAAGACGGUCUUGCUGUCACUUAUAGAUGGAUCCGCGCUGCAUUAGCUAGUUGGUAAGGUAACGGCUUACCAAGGCAACGAUGCAUAGCCGACCUGAGAGGGUGAUCGGCCACACUGGAACUGAGACACGGUCCAGACUCCUACGGGAGGCAGCAGUAGGGAAUCUUCCGCAAAGGGCGAAAGCCUGACGGAGCAACGCCGCGUGAGUGAUGAAGGUCUUCGGAUCGUAAAACUCUGUUAUUAGGGAAGAACACAUGUGUAAGUAACUGUGCACACCUUGACGGUACCUAAUCAGAAAGCCACGGCUAACUACGUG
Molecule: ribosomal RNA, 497 nt
Filed under: uncultured bacterium
Lineage: Bacteria
Description: partial 16S ribosomal RNA
Rfam family: Bacterial small subunit ribosomal RNA
Source: RNAcentral